UUACUCAAGAAUAAUAAUUUUAAACAUAUUUUCUUUUAUAAAUGUUUUAUUUGGUUUUAUUGAAGUACAUUUUAUUCCAUCUGAAGAGUAUUUUCAACAUUUCGGUACAAAUGCAAAAAUGUGACUCUUCAGGUGAAAAAUGCAAAGCUGAUGUUUGUUUGUGGAAAAAUGGGCAGAUAUUUGACUCAAAUGAAGGUAAAUCUUUAGCAUGAAGGCCGUUUCCUUUUUGAAAAUGCUGCCUUGUUGUUCAGUCAAACAGGAAAAGCCAGAACAGAACAGGUUCCCGUCUGUGAUGUCAGAGCCAAACAAAAGCUGCUGUGAGUUUGGGGUUGAGUAACCUCGGCAGCUUAAAAGCAUGAACGCCGUUCUCAGUGAGGUUUUUUUUAUCUUCUGGCUCUGAUUUCUACCCGGUUCUUCACCUUUUCCAGCGUUAAAUUAUUCAGAUCGAAAUGCUGAAGGGACUCUGGGCCACACAAUCGCUUCUUUGGAUAAUUACAGUGAUUUGGCCAGAAACCUUCAGAAAGUUCAGCGUUUACAAAGGCUGUAAUCAGCUGCGGCGCCGGACGGGUUAGAAUCCGCACAACUCCUUCAGAUUCUGCAGCCAGAAAUUUCAAAAGGAAACAAACCUUUUUCUCUGCACCAUGAUUCAACCAAGAAGAGCUUCGCUGGUCCAGAGAACAAUUUCCCAUUAGAAUAAAAAGAUGAUGUUGAGAUGGACUCCAAAUAUUUAUUAUUAUAAACGAAAGCUACAACUGUACAGAUCCUUUUGGCAAUUGAGUUUACAAUUUUGAACAAACCUGUAUAUAAAACUGAAUUAAUUACUAAAAAAAUAUUUAAAUGUCAUGAAGUAAAUCGGAGGAGCAGGCGUUGGUGUUUGUUGCAAAUCAUUCAGAAUAAAUCACUUUAGACUGAUGUUCUGGUGUGCUGCUCUUUUCUAGAUUUGAAAACAUCUGCAGUCUUUGAGUGCACCUCCCUUCUCCUGCUUUUCUGCUCUUUGUAGAUCUGCUUGAGUUCAAACAGUACAGAGGAUUUUCUAGAAUGAGUCUCAUGUCAAAUCAGCUUAAAGGGAAUAAAAACAACAAAUAGCACAUUUGAAAAAAAAAAAAGCAAAGAAAAUUUGAAAACAGGUUUAAACUCAAAAGGACACAAUGUAAACCUGACGGAAAUAAUAAAGAUUGAAUAAAAAAAAUUUAAAUUUGAAACUCGAAUUACAAAAACUAAAAAUCUAAAACUGUUAUGAAAUGAAAAAGUUUAUUUGGAAAAGCUGCUAUUUUGUAUUUUCAGUUUCAGUUUUUUUCAACUAUUACUAUAUUACAUCACAUCAGAGGGGGGCUCACAAAUGCAGGGUGGGGCUGAGCACAACCGUUUUCUACUUCACCCUAACUCACUUUUUACUACCGCUUUGCUUUACUUUACUAUGACCACCCACAGCAUGAUGGUAGAAAAAAUGUGCACGAACAUUUUUACCCCACGGGCUCCUUGAGGGGUCUAUGACCUUCAUGUGAGACCCCCGCAUGCCCUGUACAGAUUUCUUCUUUUUUUUUUUUUACUUCAGACAGACCAAAACAGAAAAACAACAGUGGGCUGAAAUGGGAAUGGGUUUUACACUAAUGUUUGUUUUGUUUGUACACAUAUUACAUUUACAAGUGAUUAUCUUACAAGAAAUAGAAGGAAUCUGGAAAAGUUCACCUGCCAUGUUCAGUAUCCAGGUAUUUAUUUCUGAGUGUCACUUGUUUAAGUUUAGGCUAAAGAUGUCUUGGACCCAUUUUAGGUCAGUGAUUCGGAUCGUUCAAAAUGAACCAAAAUUGACUGAAUCGCAUCGUCUGUCUCUGCAUGUUUUGCUAACUGUUUUUUUGGUAUUAAGACAGUUCCACAUGAAAUACGUUUGGUGAACAAGUGCUCUGUCUUUACACUAUUGAACAUUUUUUCAGAAUAAAGAUUUGUAGUUGAAAUAAAUCCUUAAUGGUGUGAAAGAGAAAACAGGUUAUAGGCUUAAGAGCAGAAGCUAACCAAUCAAAAGAAACUUAGUGAGCGAGUGAAGCAUCACCAAAAUAACUCAAUUACUUUACUGUUUGAAAUAAAAAAAAUACUGUUCUAAAGGUGUGAUUACAGGGUUAGAAAUCCUUCAAAAAUCACCUUCAUGUCUUCUUUUUUUAUGUGAGCAUCAGUCAGACACAUCCUCCCUUUUAAAUCUUGAGUAAAUACUAAUCAAUUGCUGGAUCACUGCCUGAGGGGUGCUGAUUAAAGAUGAAAACGGUGAAUUAUUGUCUUAAUAACAUCACAGCUCCUUUGCUACACACAGUUUGUCAUCAUGAUUGACAUUCUUUUUCAUGAGGAAAAAUUGUGAUGCAGAAAAAUUAUUUGUUCCCCCAUAAAUGAAUUAAAUUAAAAGAAAACCACAAUUUUUUAUUCACUUAGGCUGUCUUUGUGUGCUUGUUCGAUGUCUCGAAUCAUUUUAGUUUGACACGAGCAAGAAAACAAAUCAGGAAGAAACACUUAGUUUUUCACAGCCGGUCGUUUACACCCAAACAAAGAUUUGAUACGUCAAAUUACGUUAAGUUGAAGUUUUUAUGGAGCAGAAAUAAUUAAGACUUUGAAGUGAGUCUCAAAUGUGUUUUUAUGGCAAUUUCAAUACUACGUACGAGUGGCAGGCAGUUAUUGUGUAAUUCUGUUCCUUGCGUUUGUGGAUGCUCACUUUCUAAAUGAUUUUUUUUUUUUUUUAAAUAUUGCUAUGACUAAGGGUUUAUUUCUAAUGCCGUGCACUUCCUCUGUGAGGUAAGUCUUCUGACACACAACACAACUUGAAGCUUAAUUAAAAAAUCAAAGUUAAUUAUUCAUUUUUUUCCUGUUUUUUUGUUAUUUUUUGUGUUACUAAAUCCUUUUGGAUUUAGUUUCCUGUGGAGUUUUAGCUUCCUGGUCCAAAGAGUUGGCUGAGGAUGGAGCUGAUCUUCAUGCAGAAGCUCAUAAGCAGCACUCAACCACCACGGCAGAGGAGGAAAGGGAAACUGAUUGUUCAUUUCUGUGUUUUGCUUAACUUAUAGAGCUAAACUGAAACUGUUUAUUGUUUGAUUUCUUUUGAGUUAAAACACUGAUUUCAUGUUAGAAAAUGUCCUCUAUCGUAUUAGACUCUACGAUGCUUCAUUGACACUGGACAAUAGAUUGUGUUAUCUAAUGUAUUCUAGUGUUAUUAUCAUUAUUGCUAUUUAUUAUCUGUUGCCAUCUGUUGUUUAUAUUAUUAUAUGGAGUAUUUGAACAAGAACUUGAAUCCUGGAUCUCCACAUUCAAAUCCUCUACAUCUAAAGCCUUAGUCACAUGGACCUGUACUGGAGGGCGGAUGACCGGUACUGGUGCUGCAGGUUUUUCAGGUUUGUGGAGGAUCCCAGCAGAAGCUCCUCCUUAUCUUACUCUAAUGAAAAUAGCAUAAACGAUUGCAUCCUGGUGAACUUAUGACCCUUCUCCUCCACGAACGCCCAACCACACCAGCACUGUCCUCCCUUUUCGGUGUUGAUAGCGUUGAUUGAGGUUGAGACAUUCUCUCCUUUUUAUGGAAGGAGAAAAAGGAGGGAAAAUGGAUGUGAUUAAAGCCCAUUGAUUGUGAGACAUCUUCACGAGGCAUUGAGGAGAGCUGGGAGUGCUGGCUGAUGCCUCAAUCAGAAGGGAGAGGAGGGGAUAAUGGAUUCCAUUUUGUCGUUUGUGCUUUCUUUAUGGUUCAGGACAGAGCCGGGACGCCAUCGGUUUGAUUGCGCUGAUGUGGGUCAGCCGUGAAUCUCCUCUGGAGCUCUAAGAGGGAUUUUAGUGCUGCGUGUUUACUGACAAGCACAGCUCGUGAAAAGAUCUCAAAAGGCUCGAAGAAUCACCUGUGAUUGCUUGGUUUUGUUUGCUUUACGCCUCAGUUAGCGGGCAGGCCUGCCAUCCAUGUCCCCAUUCCCAAAAGGUUGAUCUGAAGUGUGGAGAUGAAAAGCAGGAAGAAGUCUCCUGUGAACAAAACGCCUGGCAGCCGCUGGAGCUGGAAAUCCCACAGAACACAACAUCUGUAUCCACGAGGUCCAAUUAUAGCAGCAUCCUGUCUCUGAACGCGCUGACCAAACUCAGGCGUUUAAGGCGUCGCAUGCUGAUGACUUCACUUCCCAUCUGCCACAGACUGUGCAGCAGCGAGGGAUCAUGUCCGGCUCACUAGAGAGUGAAAUACAAUCACAUAAUCCCUCACAGAUGCUGUUGAUGUAACAUCUACAGUCACAGAAGUCUAUGGAAGGAGAAAGACCAUCCUUUGUUUAAUGUGAACACUUUUUAAUCUCACUUUUUUCUUGUUUUGGCUGGAUAUAUUAUUGUUGUUUUCAUAAAACACAUGCAUGAAUGGUAAUUAACUCAUUUAGCAGUGUAAUUUACUGACAAAUCAAUCUCAGGGUACAUUCACGCUGGUAGGUUGAGUUUCCAUCUGUUUCCAUACCCCUAUAAGUUCCCAUUGUUUGGUGAGUGUGAAGGUUUCUGUUCUUCUAGUUCACUUGCAGAUGAACUCUGGUGUGGUUCAUCUCAGUGUGAAUGACUGUCAGUGUACCAAAAAGCAGGAAUACAUCCUCCCAUCUUCCGUAUCUUUUUAGUCUCUACAGCAGUGACAUCCAACCCCUGGGUUGCAGACUGGUACUAGUCUGUGGGACGGUUGGUUCUAGGCCUCAGAGAGAAAAACAAAACAAAAACACGGCCUACACUUCCGUGUAGAUUCUCAGACAUCCAAGUCAUGAUAAAAUGAAAAGAAAAGAAAAAAACUUCUGGUUUGAAGACGUUUCGGCCCUAAUCUGAGCGGCUUCUUCAGUUUAGUCCGACUGGUGUUUAGCUAGAGAUACUUAGUUAAUAAAACAACAAAAAAACA
Non-coding RNA from Oryzias latipes (Japanese medaka), 4867 nucleotides. The record is from RefSeq and is a predicted model, not a curated record. NCBI's taxonomy places the organism in Eukaryota, Metazoa, Chordata, Actinopteri, Beloniformes, Adrianichthyidae.